CAGUCGCCGCGGGAAUACGGAGGGGGCUAGCGUUGUUCGGAAUUACUGGGCGUAAAGCGCACGUAAGCGGCUUGGUAAGUUAGAGGUGAAAGCCCGGAGCUCAACUCCGGAAUUGCCUUUAAGACUGCCGAGCUAGCAGGUGAGAGAGGUAAGUGGAAUUCCGAGUGUAGAGGUGAAAUUCGUAGAUAUUUGGAAGAACACCAGUGGCGAAGGCGGCUUACUGGCUCAUACUGGACGCUGAGGUGCGAAAGCGUGGGGAGCAAACAGGAUUAGAUACCCGAGUAGUCCCUGUCUCUUAUAA
RNAcentral lists this ribosomal RNA (301 nucleotides) under uncultured bacterium. Its description in RNAcentral is "partial 16S ribosomal RNA". It matches the Rfam family "Bacterial small subunit ribosomal RNA", at positions 509 to 809 of the family's 1533-position model. The record is from RNAcentral.